GGAUGUGAGGGUGAUCUGGCUAUGACACCUGUCACCCCACUGAUCGCCAGGGUUGAUUCGGUUGAUCUGGCUGGCUGGGCAGGUGUCCCCUUCCUCCCUCAGUGCUCCAUGUGUGACCCUCUGGAAGCUGCACACUGGCUCUAAGAGGACAACGACCCCUGAUAGAGGAGGACCGUUCCUCGGUCACGGUGUACGAGUAGCUGCGCUCCCCUGCUAGAACCUCCAAAUAAGCUCUCAAGAAAAUAAUGAGUAGAGAACAUAAACAGGUGAGUCAUAAAAGUAAAAAUAGAAGGAAACAACUGGGCCUACUGUUCAAUCU
Molecule: small nuclear RNA, 319 nt
Filed under: Chinchilla lanigera (long-tailed chinchilla)
Lineage: Eukaryota; Metazoa; Chordata; Mammalia; Rodentia; Chinchillidae
Description: 7SK RNA (ENSCLAG00000021645.1)
Rfam family: 7SK RNA
About the family: 7SK was discovered as an abundant small nuclear RNA in the mid-70s but a possible function has only recently been suggested.
Source: RNAcentral